RNAcentral lists this ribosomal RNA (443 nucleotides) under uncultured bacterium. RNAcentral describes it as "bacterial SSU rRNA". It matches the Rfam family "Bacterial small subunit ribosomal RNA", at positions 338 to 795 of the family's 1533-position model. The record is from RNAcentral.
CCUACGGGGGGCAGCAGUGGGGAAUUUUCCGCAAUGGGCGAAAGCCUGACGGAGCAAUACCGCGUGAGGGAAGACUGCCUAUGGGUUGUAAACCUCUUUUUUCAGGGAGGAAUCAAUGACGUGUACCUGAAGAAUAAGCAUCGGCUAACUCCGUGCCAGCAGCCGCGGUAAGACGGAGGAUGCAAGUGUUAUCCGGAAUCACUGGGCGUAAAGCGUCUGUAGGUGGUUUAAUAAGUCAACUGUUAAAUCUUGAGGCUCAACUUCAAAAUCGCAGUCGAAACUAUUAGACUAGAGUAUAGUAGAGGUAAAGGGAAUUUCCAGUGGAGCGGUGAAAUGCGUAGAUAUUGGAAAGAACACCGAUGGCGAAAGCACUUUACUGGGCUAUUACUAACACUCAGAGACGAAAGCUAGGGUAGCAAAUGGGAUUAGAUACCCCGGUAGUC